Ailuropoda melanoleuca (giant panda) is the source of this 107-nucleotide small nuclear RNA. The record is from Ensembl. Lineage: Eukaryota; Metazoa; Chordata; Mammalia; Carnivora; Ursidae.
GUGCUCGCUUCGGCAGCGCAUAUGGUAAAAUCAGGCCGAUCCAGAGGCAAACAGCGUGGCCCGUGCACGAUGAUGACAUGCGAAUUCAGGAAGCAUUCCGUGCUUUU